Molecule: ribosomal RNA, 497 nt
Filed under: uncultured bacterium
Lineage: Bacteria
Description: partial 16S ribosomal RNA
Rfam family: Bacterial small subunit ribosomal RNA
Source: RNAcentral
GAUGAACGCUGGCGGCGUGCCUAAUACAUGCAAGUCGAGCGAACGGACGAGAAGCUUGCUUCUCUGAUGUUAGCGGCGGACGGGUGAGUAACACGUGGAUAACCUACCUAUAAGACUGGGAUAACUUCGGGAAACCGGAACUAAUACCGGAUGAUAUUUUGAACCGCAUGGUUCAAAAGUGAAAGACGGUCUUGCUGUCACUUAUAGAUGGAUCCGCGCUGCAUUAGCUAGUUGGUAAGGUAACGGCUUACCAAGGCAACGAUGCAUAGCCGACCUGAGAGGGUGAUCGGCCACACUGGAACUGAGACACGGUCCAGACUCCUACGGGAGGCAGCAGUAGGGAAUCUUCCGCAAUGGGCGAAAGCCUGACGGAGCAACGCCGCGUGAGUGAUGAAGGUCUUCGGAUCGUAAAACUCUGUUAUUAGGGAAGAACAUAUGUGUAAGUAACUGUGCACAUCUUGACGGUACCUAACCAGAAAGCCACGGCUAACUACGUG